AUUGAACGCUGGCGGCGUGCCUUACACAUGCAAGUCGAACGGCAGCACGGGGGCAACCCUGGUGGCGAGUGGCGAACGGGUGAGUAACACAUCGGAACGUGCCCAGUAGUGGGGGAUAGCUCGGCGAAAGCCGGAUUAAUACCGCAUACGACCUACGGGUGAAAGCGGGGGAUCGCAAGACCUCGCGCUAUUGGAGCGGCCGAUGUCAGAUUAGGUUGCUGGUGGGGUAAAGGCCUACCAAGCCGACGAUCUGUAGCUGGUCUGAGAGGACGACCAGCCACACUGGGACUGAGACACGGCCCAGACUCCUACGGGAGGCAGCAGUGGGGAAUUUUGGACAAUGGGCGCAAGCCUGAUCCAGCCAUGCCGCGUGCGGGAAGAAGGCCUCGG
This 390-nucleotide ribosomal RNA is filed under the name uncultured bacterium. RNAcentral's name for it is "bacterial SSU rRNA". It matches the Rfam family "Bacterial small subunit ribosomal RNA", at positions 29 to 420 of the family's 1533-position model. The record is from RNAcentral.